Molecule: ribosomal RNA, 332 nt
Filed under: uncultured Bacillota bacterium
Lineage: Bacteria; Bacillati; Bacillota
Description: bacterial SSU rRNA
Rfam family: Bacterial small subunit ribosomal RNA
Source: RNAcentral
CGGCCGCGUCGACCAGGACGAACGCUGGCGGCGUGCUUAACACAUGCAAGUCGAACGAAGAGCGAUGGAAGCUUGCUUCUAUCAAUCUUAGUGGCGAACGGGUGAGUAACGCGUAAUCAACCUGCCCUUCAGAGGGGGACAACAGUUGGAAACGACUGCUAAUACCGCAUACGAUCUAAUCUCGGCAUCGAGGAUAGAUGAAAGGUGGCCUCUACAUGUAAGCUAUCACUGAAGGAGGGGAUUGCGUCUGAUUAGCUAGUUGGAGGGGUAACGGCCCACCAAGGCGAUGAUCAGUAGCCGGUCUGAGAGGAUGAACGGCGUCGACGCGGCCG